UGUGUCUCACUGUUACCUCCUUCCUGGCUGGGUUUUUCACAUGGCACAUCCAACUAUGAGUGUGGAAAGAUAGCAUAAUCCUCUGACUGUGUCAAAUUCUUAGGAAAGUGUGACUCUUAUAAGAUGGCACAAUCGCUUCCCUGAUGUGUUUCAAGUUCUUAGAAAAAUGUGUCCUCAGCUUCACAGUGGAUUCUCAUUCCAAAAGUGUAUCAUCUCCCCUUCUUGCCCAAUUUGACUCCAUCAUACCUACCCUGAGGAAAACUAAUGUGUCUAAAUCCUUCUGCAUGAUUCCAUGGAAAGCUUGUGUUUACCCUCAAUAGUUAGAGACGUACAAGGAUGGAGAGGGAACAGAGCCAUCUUCCCAGAACCAGCUUCUGCCAGAGGAGUCCCAUGAUAAUCCCAGCCAAAAGAAUGAAAACAUCAGUAAUGGCUGUGACGUAAGAAAAUUCUGAGAAAACAGAAAAAAGUUUUAUGUGAGUGCCACAUUCCAGU
Molecule: non-coding RNA, 492 nt
Organism: Macaca mulatta (Rhesus monkey)
Lineage: Eukaryota; Metazoa; Chordata; Mammalia; Primates; Cercopithecidae
Source: RefSeq, a predicted model, not a curated record